This 497-nucleotide ribosomal RNA is filed under the name uncultured bacterium. Its description in RNAcentral is "partial 16S ribosomal RNA". It matches the Rfam family "Bacterial small subunit ribosomal RNA", at positions 28 to 507 of the family's 1533-position model. The record is from RNAcentral.
GAUGAACGCUGGCGGCGUGCCUAAUACAUGCAAGUCGAGCGAACAGACGAGGAGCUUGCUCCUCUGACGUUAGCGGCGGACGGGUGAGUAACACGUGGAUAAUCUACCUAUAAGACUGGGAUAACUUUGGGAAACCGGAGCUAAUCCCGGAUAAUCUAUUGAACCGCAUGGUUCAAUAGUGAAAGACGGUUUUGCUGUCACUUAUAGGUGGAUCCGCGCCGCAUUAGCUAGUUGGGAAGGUAACGGCUUACCAAGGCGACGAUGCGUAGCCGACCUGUGAGGGUGAUCGGCCACACUGGAACUUAGACACGGUCCAGACGCCUACGGGAGGCAGCAGUAGGGAAUCUGCCGCAGUGGGCGAAAGCCUGACGGAGCAACGCCGCGUGAGUGAUGAAGGUCUUCGGAUCGUAAAACUCUGUUAUUAGGGAAGAACAAAUGUGUAAGUAACUAUGCACGUCUUGACGGUACCUAAUCAGAAAGCCACGGCUAACUACGUG